GGAGCAUAAUGAGAGUACUUCAGGAAUAAGGGACGGCUAAAUACGUGCCAGCAGCCGCGGUAAUACGUAUGUCUCAAGCGUUACCCGGAAUCACUGGGUGUAAAGGGUUCGUAGGCGGUUUAAUAAGUUGGAUAUGAAAGACCGGGGCUCAACCCCGUGUUGGUGUUCAAAACUGUUAAACUAGAAUUAGGGAGAGGUAAGCGGAAUUCUAAGUGUAGGGGUGCAAUCCGUAGAUACUUAGAGGAACACCAAAAGCGAAGGCAGCUUACUGGAACUAUAUUGACGCUCAUGAACGAAAGCGUGGGUAGCGAAAAGGAUUAGAUACCCUUGUAGUCCACGCCCUAAACGAUGAUAACUAAGUGUUGCGACUAGCUCGCAGUGCUGAAGCUAACGCGUUAAGUUAUCCACCUGAGGAGUACGGUCGCAAGAUUAAAACUCAAAGGAAUAGACGGGGACCCACACAAGCAGUGGAUCACGUGGUUUAAUUCGACAAUAAACGGGGAACCUUACCCAGACUUGACAUCUAUCGAAUCUUUCAGAAAUGAGAGAGUGCCUUUAUUGGAGCGAUAAGACAGGUGCUGCAUGGUUGUCGUCAGCUCGUGCCUUGAGGUGUUCGGUUAAGUCCGUUAACGAGCGCAACCCAUGUCGUUAGUUAUUAUGUCUAACGAGACUGCCUUGGUUAACAAGGAGGAAGGUGUGGAUGACGUCAAAUCAGCAUGGCUUUUACGUCUGGGGCUACACACAUGAUACAAUGGUACGUACAAAGAGCAGCAAUACAGUGAUGUGGAGCUAAUCUUAAAAGCGUAUCUCAGUCCGGAUUGGAGUCUGAAACUCGACUCCAUGAAGUUGGAAUUGCUAGUAAUCGUGAAUCAGAUAUGUCACGGUGAAUAUGUUCCUGGGUCUUGCACACACCGCCCGUC
This 920-nucleotide ribosomal RNA is filed under the name uncultured bacterium. Its description in RNAcentral is "bacterial SSU rRNA". It matches the Rfam family "Bacterial small subunit ribosomal RNA", at positions 461 to 1398 of the family's 1533-position model. The record is from RNAcentral.